GCGUUGUCCGGAGUCAUUGGGCGUAAAGGGCGCGUAGGUGGCCUGGUCAGUCAGUGGUGAAAGCGCGGGGCUCAACCCUGCGUCGGCCAUUGAUACUGCUGGGCUUGAGCACUGUAGAGGCAGGCGGAAUUCCGGGUGUAGCGGUGGAAUGCGUAGAGAUCCGGAAGAACACCGGUGGCGAAGGCGGCCUGCUGGGCAGUAGCUGACACUGAGGCGCGACAGCGUG
Molecule: ribosomal RNA, 226 nt
Filed under: uncultured bacterium
Lineage: Bacteria
Description: partial 16S ribosomal RNA
Rfam family: Bacterial small subunit ribosomal RNA
Source: RNAcentral